AUAAAUCCCUAAUUAGACCAUCAUAAAGGACCAAAUCUAUAAUUUUGAUGAUUUAAAAGACUAAAUUCCUAAUUAGACCAACAUAAGAGGGCCAGAACUAUAGUUUUCACAAUUUAAAAGACUAAAUUCCUAAUUAGGCCAACAUAGAGGACCAAAAAGAAAAACAAAAACAAUAAGCUGUACGUAAAUCAUGCUCCGAGAUAUUUUCUUCUCUCUCUUCACUCUUUCAGUCUUUUCUAGUCAUCUCAAAUAACCUUUUUUCUCCUUUCAUCGACGAAUCUUCGAUUGUUGCAGAAAAUAAAAAUGUAUUUGAAGAAUCUUGAUCGAGAUUAAAGUUCGGUUUGUCGAAGAAUCGAAUCAUAUACUUGAUGGAGAAAGUAUACAGACUAGAAUAAAAACACACGAGCUGCGUUCGGCAUUGUAACUCUUGGCAUUUAUACGCUGAACAGGUACAAUAUUUACAUAGUUAUUCACGCGGUACAAAUUUUACAUAAUUAAUUUUAAAAUCUAUUCACACGAUUUUUGUCGAAUACGAUGUCCGUAACCGCAUUAUUUCCACAUUCUUUUCGAAUGUAUGUUUUCAGACAGCUCUCUACUGCAGUUGAAGCCUGUCGAAAAGAGUCAAAUUGACCGUUAUUUUAUAAGAUUAAAGCCAAAAAAAAAUUAAUUAAUUAAUUAAUUAAUAUUCUUCUCCGAUAAAUACGUAUAAAUAAAGAUACCUUACUUCAACACAAUGUAAUGUGGGGGGCUCUGUUUGCUUCACUAUUGCUCCCCAAACCAUAUAUCUGGAUCAGAACUCGAGUUUAGUGUAACUCGGAAAAAUCGGUUUUUUUUUUUUCUUCGGGUAUUAAUUUAGCAUGUCAGUUACCUUGUUGUGAAAUUUUGCAUUUGCUUGAUCGACGAGGUUUGCCUUCUUGUGUAGUUCUAUAUUAUCUCGAUGAACAAGGUUUCCCUGAAACGUAAAGAAACCGUGUUUAUCGAUUCCCACUUCAAGAUUCUUCAAUUAAAAAAAAACGCAAAAAUUAGAAUGUGCAUCGGUUUUCGAAAGAGGACCUUCCAAUUCAACUCGUUGAUUUCAUCCGUUAGAAGUUGUUCCUGUAAAUAAAAAAAAAAUAAAAAACCAAAAAAAGAAAAUUUACGAAAAAACCCUUUUGUAUAUAUAAAUUAAGCGAUAAUUAUGCUUAGAUAGAAUCGGCGCUUGCCUUUUUCAUACGUAUGCCUUUCGAACUAAUUUCGAGUUGAUUUUCUAGAUUAUGGAGAUUUUCGAUGCUCAAUCCAGAAAUUUGUUCUCCCAGAAGCUGCCUGCAGUUAUUAUGAGUGAAAUUACAUUCAAGAAUUUCGAGAAGCAUAAAAAAAAGUCGAGAAAUGGUUCACGAGUUGCGAGUUCCCACAGAGCAUUAGACGAAGCUCCAUGGUACUUUAUAUUUACAAGCAACGUUCAACUCCUUUAAUUAAGCAUACUUAAUCAAGAGUAGAUAAUAUUUUAAUUUUAUAUGAAUUAGUUACAUAACUAUACAUAGGAGACUCUUUGUAAAAUAUAUCAAAUCAUACACUUUUUUAUUUUACACCUAGGAAUAUUCUUUUGUAUCUU
This is a non-coding RNA of Erythranthe guttata (spotted monkey flower), 1591 nucleotides long. The record is from RefSeq and is a predicted model, not a curated record. Lineage: Eukaryota; Viridiplantae; Streptophyta; Magnoliopsida; Lamiales; Phrymaceae.